Molecule: long non-coding RNA, 839 nt
Organism: Glycine soja
Lineage: Eukaryota; Viridiplantae; Streptophyta; Magnoliopsida; Fabales; Fabaceae
Exons: 4
Source: RefSeq, a predicted model, not a curated record
UCAAACCCUUUUCUCACUCUCGAGUCUCAAUCUUGACAUUCUCCUCUCUCUAUCUCUCUCCCCUCUUUUCGCACCUUUUUCAUCUCCGUUCGAAAACCCCGAUUUCCACUUCGAAUUCGUUCACGCUGUCAAACUCCACAACAACAUCAAGGAGCACUUGAGUGCCCAGGGGAAUCACCUUUGCCGAUCUCGUCACGCCGAAUCCUCAUCGAACCAACGCUCUUCUCAAUUUUGGUGCCUAUAGGGACGUGAGGUUGAACUAUCUUGGAAACUGAGGACGAAGUGAAUGCGAUAGAGGCACAACAAACAGAGUUGGAGGAGAAUAGGAUGUUGCAGGAAGAAACUCAGGUUUGACAACGCCAUGGUUACUCUUCAAUCAGCCAAGUGCUUGAUUUUGGCCUCGGUUCAACUCAUUGGUAAUCUUAGCAAAGAGUUAAAUGGUGCUAUGUUGGCCAUAGAAACUGUUUUUCAAAGGGGUUGGAAUCUUCUUUGGCUGGAAAACGACUCGUUGCUGGUCAUCCAAGCAUUUAGAAAUCCUGAUUUAGUUCCUUGGAAGCUUACAAAACGAUGAUUAAACUAUCUAGAUAUCACUCAUAGGAUUAUUUUUAGAUAUUGUCACAUAUAUAGGAAAGACAACUCUGCAAAUAAAUUAGCUUCUUUUAGAUAUUGUCACAUAUAUAGGAUUAUUUUUAGAUAUUGUCACAUAUAUAGGAAAUCCCAAUUAGAAAUGAGAAUAGACAGUUCCACUUACCUGGUUUUUUUUUCCUGCCAAGAUCUAUAGGGGAAUUUUGAUGGACUGAAAUACUAGUAUACUAGUGUACACACCCACUAAUAGUUUG